RNAcentral lists this unclassified non-coding RNA (305 nucleotides) under fungal sp. RNAcentral's name for it is "partial internal transcribed spacer region". The stretch from base 1 to 46 matches the Rfam family "Eukaryotic small subunit ribosomal RNA", at positions 1786 to 1831 of the family's 1831-position model. Lineage: Eukaryota; Fungi. The record is from RNAcentral.
AAGUCGUAACAAGGUUUCCGUAGGUGAACCUGCGGAAGGAUCAUUACCAAAUCCAAAUUCAACCACUUGUGAACUUGUCUUGUAUUGUCUUUUGGGAGGUUUCGUCAGGUGAUUUCAUUAUUGCCUGCUCUCAAACAUACAAUUUAUUUUGUGUGAUUGAGAGCCUCCCAUUAGGCGCGUGUGUGUUGCUGCUGCAAGGCGCCAACACCCACAAAAAACAUAAACCACAAUUUAAAAUUUCCCAUUUGGUUUUUUUAUUCAAAAAAAACAAAUGACAACUUUUAACGGUGGAUCUCUUGGCUCAU